UUCGGUAAAGAGCGGCGGACGGGUGAGUAACGCGUGGGUAACCUGCCCUGUACACACGGAUAACAUACCGAAAGGUAUGCUAAUACGAGAUAAAAUACUUUUAUCGCAUGGUAGAAGUAUCAAAGCUUUUGCGGUACAGGAUGGACCCGCGUCUGAUUAGCUAGUUGGUAAGGUAACGGCUUACCAAGGCGGCGAUCAGUAGCCGACCUGAGAGGGUGAUCGGCCACAUUGGAACUGAGACACGGUCCAAACUCCUACGGGAGGCAGCAGUGGGGAAUAUUGCACAAUGGGCGAAAGCCUGAUGCAGCAACGCCGCGUGAGCGAUGAAGGCCUUCGGGUCGUAAAGCUCUGUCCUCAAGGAUGAUAAUGACGGUACUUGAGGAGGAAGCCCCGGCUAACUACGUGCCAGCAGCCGCGGUAAUACGUAGGGGGCUAGCGUUAUCCGGAAUUACUGGGCGUAAAGGGUGCGUAGGUGGUUUCUUAAGUCAGAGGUGAAAGGCUACGGCUCAACCGUAGUAAGCCUUUGAAACUGGGGAACUUGAGUGCAGGAGAGGAGAGUGGAAUUCCUAGUGUAGCGGUGAAAUGCGUAGAUAUUAGGAGGAACACCAGUUGCGAAGGCGGCUCUCUGGACUGUAACUGACACUGAGGCACGAAAGCGUGGGGAGCAAACAGGAUUAGAUACCCUGGUAGUCCACGCUGUAAACGAUCGAAUACUAGGUGUGCGGGGACUGACCCCCUGCGUGCCGGAGUUAACACAAUAAGUAUCGCACCUGGGGAGUACGAUCGCAAGGUUGAAACUCAAAGGAAUUGACGGGGGCCCGCACAAGCGGUGGAUUAUGUGGUUUAAUUCGAAGCAACGCGAAGAACCUUACCGGGCCUUGACAUCCUCCCGAAUAGAGAGUAAUGUCUUUAGCCCUUCGGGGCGGGAGAGACAGGUGGUGCAUGGUUGUCGUCAGCUCGUGUCGUGAGAUGUUGGGUUAAGUCCCGCAACGAGCGCAACCCCUGCCGUCAGUAGCCAGCAGGUAAAGCUGGGCACUCUGAUGGGACAGCCUGGGAUAACCAGGAGGAAGGCGGGGACGACGUCAAAUCAUCAUGCCCCUUAUGGCCGGGGCUACACACGUGCUACAAUGGCGUAAACAGAGGGAAGCGAGACAGCGAUGUAGAGCAAAGCCCAAAAAUAACGCCUCAGUUCGGAUUGCAGCCUGCAACUCGGCUGCAUGAAGCCGGAAUCGCUAGUAAUCGCGAAUCAGAAUGUCGCGGUGAAUACGUUCCCGGGUCUUGCACUCACCGCCCGUCA
Molecule: ribosomal RNA, 1297 nt
Filed under: uncultured bacterium
Lineage: Bacteria
Description: partial 16S ribosomal RNA
Rfam family: Bacterial small subunit ribosomal RNA
Source: RNAcentral